This 82-nucleotide transfer RNA is filed under the name Gadus morhua (Atlantic cod). Its description in RNAcentral is "tRNA-Ser (CGA) (tRNA-Ser-CGA-6-1)". It matches the Rfam family "tRNA". From Rfam's summary of the family: Transfer RNA (tRNA) molecules are approximately 80 nucleotides in length. Their secondary structure includes four short double-helical elements and three loops (D, anti-codon, and T loops). The record is from Rfam by way of RNAcentral. Lineage: Eukaryota; Metazoa; Chordata; Actinopteri; Gadiformes; Gadidae.
GCUGUGAUGGCCGAGAGGUUAAGGCGUUGGACUCGAAAUACAAUGGGGUUUCCCCGCGCAGGUUCGAAUCCUGCUCACAGAG